UAAUUCAGUUGUGAUAUUCCUUUAUUCUUUUAUAAUAUCAAGCCAACUGGGAGCUGGUCACAGAUGAAUUCUUUUCAGGCUGUUGAGUUUUGACUGCGAUGAUCAAUCAUGUCUUCAUAUCUUUCUCCGCAGUUCAGAUAAAUGAUAUUUCGUAUAUUCACUUGCAUCAAAGGUAAACUGUCAUAAAACAAGUCAGCAUGGUAAUAAUAGGACGAACGUAUGAAUCGAAACA
Long non-coding RNA from Orbicella faveolata, 232 nucleotides. The record is from RefSeq and is a predicted model, not a curated record. NCBI's taxonomy places the organism in Eukaryota, Metazoa, Cnidaria, Anthozoa, Scleractinia, Merulinidae.